CAGAACUAGAUGUGGCGGGGAAAAGGAAAGAUUGGCGCCGAGAGUUGCCGUCGCAGAGGACAGGCAGGGCCGCGCCGCCGCCGAGGAGGACCCGCAGGGUCGCGCCGCCGCCGCCCAAGUGAAGCGCUCCGCCUCGCCGCGGCGGUAAUUAGCGCCGCCGAGCCCCGCGGGAACCAGCUCCGCCGAGUCGCCGGGGAACUAGAAGAGCGCUGUCGUGCGCCGGGUAGCAGUGACUUGCCGCCGCGGUCCACGGAGGAGCGCCACCCUGACCACCACGUUCGGUUUCCCAGAAUUGAAUGUUGUGCAAUGGCAGAAAUUGGAAAGAGGACACCCAAAGUUGGUAUGAGGUUCAGAGAUUCGGAAGAGGCUUGGGAGUUUUGGGUAGAUUAUGGGGGUCACAUCGGCUUUGAUGUGAGGAAAAGAUCCACAAUCAAAAGCAGAUGUGAUGGUGUGAUUACUUCACGCUAGUUUGUUUGUUCCAAUGAAGGCCAUCGAAGGAAAAACCAAACAGAUCAUGAACCAAAACGUAUUAGAGCAGAAACAAGAACCAAUUGUAAGGCUCAUGUGAUUGUUACAUAUGAUCGAGUUGCCAACAAUUUUGAAGUCACCGAAGUUGAUUUGGAGCACAAUCACCACCUUCAAUUGCCACAAACCUGCCACUUGUUAGCAUCACAAAGGAAGAUUUCAGAAGUGCAAGCUUUCGAGAUAGAAAUAGCCGAUGAUUCUGGAAUUAUGCCAAAAGCUUCACAUGAGUAUGCUUGUCGUCUAGUUGGUGGCCCUAACAACCUUGGUUACACUUGCCGUGACCGAAAGAACCAUUUGCGAAGCAAGCGGCAGCGGGAGUUGGCUUAUGGACAGGCUGGAAGUAUGUUGAAUUAUUUUCGUGACAAGCAGGCUGAGAAUGCAGCAUUCCAAUACCAUUUGCAGUUGGAUAGUGAGGAGCAUAUAGCCAACAUAUUCUGGGUUGAUGCUAAAAUGCUACUUGACUAUGCACACUUUGGCGAUGUUGUCACAUUUGACACUACAUUUGGCACAAACAAAGAGUAUAGGCCAUUUGGUAUUUUUCUUGGGCUAAACUAUUUCAGAAAAACAAUCAUUUUUGGUGCUGCAUUGAUGUUCGAUGAAACACGUGACUCCUUUAUAUGGCUCUUUGAGACUUUUCUAGCCGCACAUAAUGGAAGGCAACCUAGAACUAUCUAUACAGAUCAAGAUGUUGCAAUGGGAAAAUCCAUAGAAAAGGUCUUCACAGAAUCAUAUCAUGGAUUGUGCACCUUCCAUAUAAUGCAAAAUGCUGUCAAACACUUAACUUCUGUGAAGGGCGAAGAAAAAGAUGGAAGUGGAAGAGAGAGAUGAAGUGGAGGAUGAAGAAAAAGAGCCUCAUAUUCUCACAGAUUUUGGUGCUUGUAUGUAUGGCUAUGAAGACAAGGUAGCAUUUGAAGAAGCGUUGCCAAUAUGAGGCUCAAAGUGCAUAAGCAAACUUGGUUAGAUAGUAUCUACAAGGUGAAAGAAAAAUGGGCCGAAUGUUAUAUGAGAGAUGUCUUUAGCUUGGGAGUGAGAAGUACACAAUUAAGUGAGAGCUUCAACAAUGCAUUGAAAAAUCAUUUGAAAUCAGAUUUUCAUAUUCUUCGAUUCUUGAUGCAUUUUGAGAGGACAAUGGCGGUAAAAAGAAGAGCUGAAUUAGAAUCUGAAUUCGAUGCAAUAAAGAAUAUACCAAUAAUUAAGAUGAAGACUCCUAUGUUGGUAGAAGCAAGCGAAGUAUACACUCCGAUUAUUUUUGAGGCUUUCCAAGGUGAGUAUGAAAGAUCAACGGCUGCAUGUUGUAGAGCAUUGGAUGGAAAUAACAGAUUUGUUGUUGCUAUUGCGAGGUUGCAUGGAGAUUUACAGUUUGAGGAGGAGCGCAUAGUGGUAGGUGAUCCUUUGACCAAAACGGUCUCAUGUAGUUGUGGGAUGUUCAAUAGGACAGGAAUCUUGUGUGCACAUGGUCUAAAAGUGCUUGAUUUGAUGAACAUAAAGACAUUGCCGGCACAUUAUGUCUUGAAGAGGUGGACUAGAGAAGCUCGCAGUGGAAGUAUUCAAGAUAGACAAGGAAGGAAUGUGGUAGAAAAUCCAAAAAUGGAAGCUGAACUUCGAUACAAGGAUUUGUCUCAUAAAUUUCACAAAAUGGCACAAAAAGCAGCCAACUCUCCACAAUGUUGUAUUCUAUUGGAUAAUGCACUUGAUUCCGUCGCUCCGCAUAUACAUGAUUUACCCAAUGCAUCCACUAGUGCCAUGAAUGAACUAUGUAAAGACAAAGAGAAUGUUUGACCCAAAUGUGCAGCAAGUAGAUGAGUUGCUUAGAUCUGCACGGCUGAAGAAAAAAGAGGUUCAGUCAAAGAACUUAAGGAGAAAGAAAAAUUGGCUUGAUAAGUUACUCAAGGGGAAGCACAGAGUAACUAAAGGACCAACAAAACAGGGAGAAAAGCCACAAAGGAAGAAGAAUGGUGUGCAACAAAAGAAAAAAGAUGGUGUGCAGCCUCAAGUAGAAGUGGAGAAGUAUGACAACAACAAAGAAGUAAAUUUGGUGCUUCAAGAGUGCAAUAAUAUUAUGAGUUUCACCCAACUCUUGACGGCUGACCAUGGAAGCUCCUUAGAUAAUAUUUUGUACAUGGUGGUGAUGAUGAUGAUUAUCUGUUCUAGCAUGGAACUUGUUAGAUACAGUAGUAUUUUGGACAUGGUUAACUAUAGUAGUAUGGGGUUAACUAUAUUAUUUUGUAGCCUAAGUGUACAAGCAAGUGGUACUGAAUUUGGAUGUAUUGACCUUUUGAAUUACAAGCAAGUGGUACUGAAUUUCAAUCAA
Triticum aestivum (bread wheat) is the source of this 2836-nucleotide long non-coding RNA. RefSeq lists it as uncharacterized. The transcript is spliced from 3 exons. Lineage: Eukaryota; Viridiplantae; Streptophyta; Magnoliopsida; Poales; Poaceae. The record is from RefSeq and is a predicted model, not a curated record.